Long non-coding RNA from Pteropus alecto (black flying fox), 3536 nucleotides. RefSeq lists it as uncharacterized. The transcript has 3 exons. The record is from RefSeq and is a predicted model, not a curated record. Lineage: Eukaryota; Metazoa; Chordata; Mammalia; Chiroptera; Pteropodidae.
UGAAUGGGUUUCAGGGUGGCUGAGGAAGCCUGCCAAAAAGGCAGAGUGAAAAGGCCAGGCCCGUGUGGCACUGCUCGCAGUUUCCAUGACGACACCAGCUGCUGCCUGGCCCCUCCAAUUGCUGGCUCCUUCUGCGGGGCCUCCACAUGGUUACCUGGCUCUGUGAGGAGGAAAAUUCUGACGGGUCUUCUUGGCCCAGUGUGCCACCAGCUAGUGCCACUGUGUUCUAGACACCGUGCUGCACUCCACAGGGAAGACUGGGUCCAGGGAGGGGCUGUUGGAACCUCUGGAGGCACAUGCUUCAUUCAGUCCAGCGUGGAGGGAGGGGCUACCAGCGGCCAGCCAGGCAGGACUGGGAUGGGACAGGCUCUCAGAGGUCUGUGGGCCUUUGGGAGGGAAUGGCGAGACCAGAUGUGUUUGUUAAAGAUGUCUGUGCCUACACAGGGCCUAGGGAGGGUGGAUGACGUGAUAGGAUAGAGAGGCAAAGGGAAGCUAUGCAGUAACCCAGGACAGGGACAGUGGCCUGGCCUAACACCUAGAGCUGUUUAAGAGGUAGAAGUGACUGCAUUUGGUGCUUGGGCAGGAGAGGCUGAUGAAAUGGAGGAGUCUAGAUAUCUCCUCCCAGGGCAGCAGGUAGGUGGGGCUGUACUCCCCAAGACAGAAAACGGGGACUUGAGAUAUUUGAGGACUCCCCUGAACCAUUCUUGUCUACUUUCUCCCCUACUCCAGAGACUACCAAGAACUUGGAUCUUGGUGGGGAUGUCCAAGUUUGAUGAAUGAAUGAAUAAAUGAAAGGGAGAAAGGUCAGAAAGUGUGUGAAACCAAUGAGAGAGAGAUGUGCUCUACCCAAGUACACACUUGCCCCCAAAUGUAUACCACCCAAGGGAGCUCGUGCCGAGAUGAGGCUGCCUUGACCUCUCGCACGCGACACACAUCGUGUUGGACUUUGUCACCUAGAUUUGUGAUUGGUUUUGUUAUUUUGGGUCAUCUUAGCAUCCAAAUCAGGUAUUACACAUUUAUUGCGGUUUGAUUUUGCUUUUACUCACUGCAGAGCUGUGUCAGAGUGGAGCCCAGUUUCCUGCAUCUACCUGUGAGAGUGGUGGCUUGGAGGUGCCCCCUCGUUUUAAGUAAGCAGAUCCACUGGGUGGACAUCUAACACAGAGGACCCAGCGGUGCUGACUUCACGCUCCAGAGAAGAAAUUUCUGCAGCUUUCCUUUAUGCAGCUGCCGGGCGCCUCUAAAGGGCUCAGUGGACACAGAGCUUCAAAGGGACACAGCUACCUGCAUCAUUUUUAACAGGAACUAGCUGGCCAAGGGAGGACUGGAUUCCAAAUACCAUAGACUGGACAAGAGCAAGGGUAUUAUUUAUAUCCAACAAGUCUUCCCUGUGUGACUACAGACGUCAGGCCCAAUGUAAGAUGACAUUUGAAAGCUGGGCCCGAUCAGCUGAGAGACAGUGCUCUACCUUCUUGCAAAAAGGGGAGGAGCUUCGUGGCUCCAAAGGGCAGAAGCAGAGGAUGACAAGCCCAAGGAUGGAGAUUCUAGCUCAACACAACAAGAAUCAGAAAUCAGAGCUUUCUCACAGGGAUGAGCCUCCCAUCACUAGAUGUAUUCAAGUAGAAGUUGUCAGGAUGCACUUGGAUGCACUUGGAGCUAGUCAACCAGGAGACUGAAUUCCUCCAGCUUCCCUGCACCCCAGGAGGACAGCAGCUGCCUCCCAUGGCCUGCACGAAAACCCUUCUGCUGGCCAGCUGAGGACAGCAGCUAAGUCACAUUAAGCCUGCCCUGCUUGCUCUGGGUUUAACAAUCUGUUUCCUCCCUGCCCGUGGCGGGGAGAAGAGCAAACCCCAGCGUGGGCGGAGCAGUGGGGCCUGGCCGAUGCUGUCCAAGGCCUCCCAGCUUUUCAGGAAAGGGCAUCUUUGUGUCUGUGAGGUAUUGAAGCCAGUCAUGGUGCCCUGAAACUCGUCCUCUCACAGUCUGGAUUCCUGCAGGGACACUCCAAGGGCAUCAUGGGUAUGAGGAGGGGGUGCUCUUGAUUAAGCCAUCUGAGCAACCCCAACUCCCCACCCCUGUUCCCAGCAGUACUCACCGGAAGAGCAGCAGUGCCCCUAGGUGGAGAGAACUCUACCCCUGGGAGUCCUCAAGGACCCGGGCCCACAUGGCCAAGACACAGGCCACGGAUGGGGAGUGGGCUACACUUCCAGAAGGCUCUGAAUUCUGGCAGGCAUGAUUGCUUUGCCCCAGGCCUUGACCUCUCUAGCUGCUGGGGGUGGGGCGGGGGAGAAUUGGCCUCUAGUGAGGGAAAACCAGCCCCAGGGAACUGGGCCACCACUCCUAUCUGGGCUACCUCUGAGGACUUUAGUUUUUUCUUUGCAUCUCUGAUCCUCUGUUUCCCUAACUGAAAAAUAGGGAUAUAAACAUACCUAUUUUCUGUGAGAAUAGAGUGAAAUGACGGACAGGACAGCCUAGCACUAUCCUGGCAUAGGAUACGUGCUUAAUAAUGAGUUUUCUCCUGGAACUUUCUUUUUUCUCCAUGCUCUCCCCUCCCUUACCUCUGUAAGACUAGAACUGCUCACCAGUGGAGGGAGGGGUGUGCUUACAGGGAGAACAGAUCCUUCCUGGUCUGUAGGAGGCCUGCCUCUGCCAAUAGGGCUGCAAACUUGUAUUUUGUCAAAAAUAAUAAUCAUAGAGAAGGCAGGAGGGAGGGUCAGCCGUUGAGCUAUGGGUCUGCUGCAGUGGCCACGGAGGGGGCAGGCUUGGCUGAGGUUUUCCCUCUACCCCUUGGCUGUGGCACCCCAGGGGGUGGAGUCUGGGAUGGAUCCUGGGCUUGGAGAUAGCAGAUUAGCAUCCAGACUUCUCUGAUUCGAUUGGAGGCUCAGUUCAGCGCUGGGGGCCACCCUACAGGGGUGGAGUGGGCAGGGACCAGGGGCCUCUAGCUCUUCCAGCCAGCUGACCCUGUUAUUUUUAGCUCUGGAAUGUUCCUUUCAAGCCCCCUUCAGUUCUGUUUAUCCUGCUUUUGCUCCCUGUUCCUCUCCAGGAAAUUCUGCAGCAGGAGUAGGAUAAACCAAGAGGGGAGGAGAUUAGGGGUGGCAGAAACAAUAGGAGAAAUCCACUGGGGCUGUGGGAAGAGUGGGCACUGCUCCCUUCCCUACCUUCAGGUCCAGAGGCCCCCAUUUCUGCCUUUCCGGUUUCCUGGGUUUGGGGCUACGAGGUUAUCCCCUCCUUCCUCUCCACCACCACGGAUAUGACAUGACCUCCAUCGUGCUUGUCAGCCCAGGCCUGGGGCAGCCCCACCCUCUUACCUUUCCUUCUGGAAACUCGGGUGAGGUCAUACUUAGGGUGGGCUGGGCAGGAAGGGUCAGCCCUUGGACCCGGCCCCUGGGUCCAGACACUCUGUGGACCCCUUGAAAGAACUCCUAUGUGAAAAUGCACAGCAGAGCAGUGGGCCUGGGGACAAAGGGUUGGUGUGAAGUCCAGAGAUUGAUUCGGUCCCCCUCUGCCUCCGUGUUUUCCUUUAUAAAAUGGGAAUGACAGUA